AUUGAACGCUGGCGGCGUGCUUAACACAUGCAAGUCGUGCGGUAACAGGCGUAGCAAUACGUGCUGACGAGCGGUGAACGGGUGCGUAAUACAUGGGAAUCUGCCCUUUAGUGGGGAAUAACCCGGCGAAAGCCGGGCUAAUGCCGCAUAAGAUCUUCGGAUGAAAGCGGGGAUCGUAAGACCUCGCGCUGAUGGACGAGCCCAUGUCGGAUUAGCUAGUUGGNGAGGUAACGGCUCACCAAGGCGACGAUCCGUAGCUGGUCUGAGAGGACGGCCAGCCACACUGGGACUGAGACACGGCCCAGACUCCUACGGGAGGCAGCAGUGGGGAAUAUUGGACAAUGGGCGAAAGCCUGA
RNAcentral lists this ribosomal RNA (357 nucleotides) under uncultured bacterium. RNAcentral describes it as "bacterial SSU rRNA". It matches the Rfam family "Bacterial small subunit ribosomal RNA", at positions 30 to 386 of the family's 1533-position model. The record is from RNAcentral.